Molecule: ribosomal RNA, 377 nt
Filed under: uncultured bacterium
Lineage: Bacteria
Description: bacterial SSU rRNA
Rfam family: Bacterial small subunit ribosomal RNA
Source: RNAcentral
AAACGUAGGUGGCGAGCGUUGUCCGGAAUUACUGGGUGUAAAGGGCGCGUAGGCGGGGAUGUAAGUCAGAUGUGAAAUACCACGGCUCAACUGUGGGGCUGCAUCUGAAACUAUGUUUCUUGAGUGCUGGAGAGGAAAGCGGAAUUCCUAGUGUAGCGGUGAAAUGCGUAGAUAUUAGGAGGAACACCAGUGGCGAAGGCGGCUUUCUGGACAGUAACUGACGCUGAGGCGCGAAAGCGUGGGGAGCAAACAGGAUUAGAUACCCUGGUAGUCCACGCCGUAAACGAUGGAUACUAGGUGUAGGAGGUAUCGACCCCUUCGGUGCCGGAGUUAACACAAUAAGUAUCCCACCUGGGGAGUACGGCCGCAAGGUUGAA